Molecule: long non-coding RNA, 1561 nt
Filed under: Homo sapiens (human)
Lineage: Eukaryota; Metazoa; Chordata; Mammalia; Primates; Hominidae
Description: non-protein coding lnc-DDX19B-2:1
Source: RNAcentral
GGGCAAGGCAGGAGGAUUACUUGAGACCAAGAAUUCAAGUCCAGCCUAGACAAUGCAGUGAGACCCCUUCUCUCCAAAAAAUACAAAGGUUAGCCAGGCAUGCUGCCAUUCACCUGUGGACCAUUCCACAGCAAAAGAUCCUAAAAGGAGCAUCUAUGUUCUACCUACUCAACAUUCUAGAAACUUAGAAAGGGGAGAGGGGCAGGAAAAUAAAAGAACUACAUUUCUGACAACAAUGAAAUAGUUUAUUUUCUUCAAAUAUUUUAAGGUACGAACGUCAGAAAUAAAAAUGCAGCAUUUAACCCUGGAACCUCAAAUAUCACUGAUUAUACUCAAAGGAGCAGAGGCAUUGUUUUCCAUCUGAUUCCUCAGUUCCUCACACACACAACCAUCCCCCUCACCCCAUGAUCUGAAAAGCGAAAUGAGGAAUUCACCCUAAAAUUAGUGUGGAGAAAACAAGCAAAUUAGGUUAUUUACUAAGUGACUACAUAAAAAACUGAGUAUGAGACCAAGAAAAAUAGAUUCUGUAGUUUUAGUUAAAAAAAAAAUUGACUUGUAAAUCCCAACUACUCGGGAGGCUGAGACACAAGAAUCGCUUGAACCCAGGAGGCAGAGGUUGCAGUGAGCUGAGAUUGCACCGCUGCACUCCAGCCUGGACAAUACAGCCAGACUCCAUCUCAAAAAAAAAAAUAAUUAAUAAAUAAAUAAAAUAAAUAUACUGAAAAUAUUUCACUCCACUAAGAUGUUAAGCUAAAAACAAAUACUGUUUUCUCUUCUUCAAUGUUUGUUAACAUUAGUCCUUAAUAACAUCUGUUUACAAUAUCCCUAAAUGCUCUCUUUAAGAUUCCACCUGUGAUUAAAUUUCAAAUACAAAAAAGUAAAACGGAUUUGGGAAACUUUUCUAUAAAGUACAGCAAUUAAUUUGCAAUCCAAAAUAUAAAGCAAAUUUUAUAUAAUUUAUGCUUUACUAUAUUAGUACUUGCUUCACAUUAAAAUUAAAGAUCAGUAUGGCACCACACAUGAAUAACAUGCAGGCUCAGGUUACCAUUAUACAUAAAUUUUUAAAAUAAAUAUAUGGCAAAAAUAAUAAUUGUCAUUCCAUUGAAAGAAUAUUUAUUUUGCAGCUGUUAAAAGACAUUUUUCCCUAAAAAAAGAAAAGCUGUGCUUUACAUAGCAAUCUUAUAAAAGAAAUGCUAGAAUCAGAAAACCAUCAUUUUAGGCUGGGUGCAGUGGCUCACACCUGUAACCCCAGCACUUUGGGAGGACGAGGCAGGUGGAUCACUUGAGGUCAGGAGUUCAAGACCAGUCUGGCCAGCUCGAUGAAACUCCGUCUCUACUAAAAAUAUAAAAAUUAGCAGAGCACAGUGGCACCUGCCUGUAAUCCCAGCUACUCAGGAGGGUGAAGCAUGAGAACUGCUUGAACCUGGGAGGCGGAGGUUGCAGUGAGCCGAGAUUGUGCCACUGCCCUCCAGCUUGGACAAUAGAGCAAGAUUUCGUCUCAAAAAAAAAGAGAAAAAGAAAACCAUUAUUUUGCAAUAGCCAAUGUUAUAAUCUACACAGG